GAUGAAGAACGCAGCGAAAUGCGAUAAGUAAUGCGAAUUGCAGAAUUCAGUGAAUCAUCGAAUCUUUGAACGCACAUUGCGCCCGGUAGUAUUCUGCCGGGCAUGCCUGUUCGAGCGUCAUUUCAACCAUCAAGCCCCAGCGCUUGUGUUGGGGGCCUGCGGCUGCCGCAGCCCCCCAAAAGCAGUGGCGGGCUCGCUAUCACACCGAGUGCAGUAGUUCAUCUUCUCUCCGGUCUUGUGAGGCGGGUUCCGGCCGUGAAACACCCUACUACAUUCAAGGUUGACCUCGGAUCAGGUAGGAAUACCCGCUGAACUUAAGCAUAUCAAUAAGCGGAGGA
Molecule: unclassified non-coding RNA, 338 nt
Filed under: soil metagenome
Description: partial contains 5.8S ribosomal RNA, internal transcribed spacer 2, and large subunit ribosomal RNA
Rfam family: 5.8S ribosomal RNA (bases 1-120)
Source: RNAcentral